RNAcentral lists this long non-coding RNA (245 nucleotides) under Ananas comosus (pineapple). RNAcentral's name for it is "long non-coding RNA (ACOM_LNC000492)". The record is from RNAcentral. Lineage: Eukaryota; Viridiplantae; Streptophyta; Magnoliopsida; Poales; Bromeliaceae.
UUAUUUUCUGAAUAAUUACCAGAUUUAGCUUUAGGAGCUGUGGUUCUUUUGUAUCGCCGUAAUUAGUAUGUGGUGGAUACCUAGAUUAGUGUAGGUUGGGAUUACGCUCGUGCUGGGAUGUCGAGGUCGUUUUACAGUAAUGUAUAUACUGUUUUGCACUGUCGAGUGCCGUUGCAGUUGACGAUGGACUCAGAUUUCUAUUUUUUGUAUCAGAUUAUGCCAAGGGCACGUGAGUUUUGGUGGCU